Molecule: small nucleolar RNA, 136 nt
Organism: Echinops telfairi (small Madagascar hedgehog)
Lineage: Eukaryota; Metazoa; Chordata; Mammalia; Afrosoricida; Tenrecidae
Source: Ensembl
GCAUGGGUUUGGAUUGAUGGCAGGUCCGGUCGGUCCCAUGCGCCUCUCAUCGUGUCCCAUGCCAAAGCAAACUGUAACCCCGAACCAUUGCAGGCUGACCCCGUGGGCUUCAGGCACUGAAGCGGGUUGCACAGUG